CGUGAGAGGGGAAAAGGUCAGAGGUCAACAGGCACACCCGCAGGCCCCAGAGAAAAAGCAGCAGUGGAGACCCUGCGAGGUGAGGGGGAAGAUGUACUCAGCCUCCCGGCCUCUGCCCUGUCACCUUCCCAUGAUGCCUCCCGGCCCCAGCCAGGCCAGCCCUGGGUGACUACCUGGGGUUUUGUUCUCGUUGGGGACAAUGCAGCGGACGAAGUGGGGCUGUGUGGCCCGCAGGUUGGUCAUCAGCUUGUUGAGGUUCUCCUGGCAGUGGGGAAGAGUGAGGGAAAGGCACAAAGGGGGCAGAGAACCAGAAUUGGAUGCCGCAGUGGUCAGGACCGAGACGGGAGCAGGGCCCUAAGUGCCCUGCACUUUUGCUCUUUCACUCUCAUUCUGGUGAUGGGAGACCCUUCGCUGUCUCCCAUCACCACCACCAAAGUCUUCACUUCCCUGCCAAAUCCCCGUCCCUCCCAGAGCCCCAGGGCUCCCACCCCUUCCCCACAAACCCUGCCCAGGCAGCGUAGGGACGGGAAGCAGCACAGACUUGCUGUGAUGUUCACGUGGAGAGGAGUUAAACAUCACUGCAAGUCUUAACAGCCGCCCGCCCAAGGCACAGGGGACAGGGCAGGGGGUGAAGGACGGGGCUGGAGGCUGCCAAGAGGGAGGGUCUGUCUCCCAGAUGGGGCCUUACCUUGUGCAGCUGGGACACCGUCUGGAACGAUGCUGCCUUCUUACGCUUCUCUUUCACCCCAGACUUGGGGGGCUCAGCUAAUAGAGACAAGGGGCCUGGUCACUCCAGGGAAUGUCGCUCUGUGGGCCCCUGUCAGAGUGGAGAUCUUGUCCCUCCAUACUCACUGGAGCAGGAGCCCGCAUAAUUCUCAUAGAGAGUCGCCAGGAGCCUAUUCUGUGACUUCUGGAAGAUGGGGACCACGGUCUCAUUCAGGGGAUCCUUGUUUUUCUCCAGCCAGCCCACAAUGCUGUAAGGCACCUGGAGAGACAAGUCAGGUGCUGAGCCCGGGUGGGAGACCUGGAGCAGGGCGGGAGGAGCCUGGCCGAGGGCUGGGGUUCCAGCAAGCACCUACCACGCCUGCGUAGUGGACCACCUCGAAGUGGGCCUGGUACUUGCGCUUCUUGUCAGGCCGAGGCUGCUGGAAAUUGGGUGACUUCCCCGCGUGGUUGUCGUAGAGCUUGGCCCGGAAGCUGGCGUCUGAGGCCUUGGGGAACAUGCAUUCCUCCUCCAGGAUGGACAGGAUGCCCAGUGGCUGGGAACAGAACGAGCUUGAAAAGCCACCAUCAAGCCAGUCCAUCCUGGAAGGACUGAACCCCUGGUUCCCCAGGCCACCUCCCUUCUGGGAGCCUUCCCAGAUCCCCAGCUUCAGCCAUCUCCCCGGAUGGUCAGACACCACACCCACUCCAAGAACCCAUCUCCUAACAGAGAAAAGUUUGUGGCUUGGCUCCAGUCCCCUCCUGCAAAAUCUGCAGCACUGAGGUGUCAUCUUCACUUCUAACAAUGGCAAACCCAAGCUGGCAUCUCUGUACCCACUCUCACCCCCGCCACAGCCAUGGCUGUCACACACAAACAUGGGAGUGGGAAGAUGAAUGUCUUCAGUGCUGACAUAAUAUUUAAAAAGCUGUCAAUCACCUAAACGCCCAGCUGUAGGGGACUGCAGAAAUGCAUCGUAUGAAACUCAUCCACUGCAUGAACUACUCUUGCCAUGAGCAGCAUUCAAAAUACAUUUUCAGAGAAAAAGUAGGAUAUGAAAUGAAAUCUGUGUCUAUAAAAGAAAAUGGAUAGGCCAGGCGCAGUGGCCCACGCCUGUAAUCCCAGCACUUUAGGAGGCCAAGGUGGGUAGAUCACUUGAGGUCAGGAGUUCGAGACCAGCCUGGCCAAAAUGGUGAAGCCAUGUCUCUAUUAAAAAUACAAAAAUU
This 1926-nucleotide long non-coding RNA is filed under the name Homo sapiens (human). Its description in RNAcentral is "non-protein coding lnc-TRPC4AP-1:2". The record is from RNAcentral. Lineage: Eukaryota; Metazoa; Chordata; Mammalia; Primates; Hominidae.